AGCGAACGCUGGCGGCAGGCCUAACACAUGCAAGUCGAACGGAUCCUUCGGGAUUAGUGGCGGACGGGUGAGUAACACGUGGGAACGUGCCCGUUGGUUCGGAACAACUCAGGGAAACUUGAGCUAAUACCGGAUGUGCCCUUCGGGGGAAAGAUUUAUCGCCAUUGGAGCGGCCCGCGUCUGAUUAGCUAGUUGGUGAGGUAACGGCCCACCAAGGCGACGAUCAGUAGCUGGUCUGAGAGGAUGAUCAGCCACACUGGGACUGAGACACGGCCCAGACUCCUACGGGAGGGAGCAGUGGGGAAUCUUGCGCGAUGGGCGAAGGCGUGACGCAGCCAUGCCGCGUGAAUGAUGAAGGUCUUAGGAUUGUAAAAUUCUUUGUGCGGGGACGAUAAUGACGGUACCCGCAGAAGAAGCACCGGCUAACUUCGUG
Molecule: ribosomal RNA, 433 nt
Filed under: uncultured bacterium
Lineage: Bacteria
Description: partial 16S ribosomal RNA
Rfam family: Bacterial small subunit ribosomal RNA
Source: RNAcentral